Molecule: long non-coding RNA, 650 nt
Organism: Numida meleagris (helmeted guineafowl)
Lineage: Eukaryota; Metazoa; Chordata; Aves; Galliformes; Numididae
Exons: 3
Source: RefSeq, a predicted model, not a curated record
GAUCACUGUGUGCCUGAGGCCUUUCAAGGCUGUGCUGCAUCUUGUCAGUCACACCUCCGGCUCCUGCUGAGAGAUGGCAGCUCUGCUGUCCAUGCCCUGACACUGUCACAACCUGCUGGGAUUGCUGCUUUUGUAAGACACUCCUGUUCAAAAAUUUCUACAGGGCCUCCAGUGCGACUGAGAAGCAUGUUAGCAGGCUGGCUUCAGCUUUUUGUUCAACACUGUAUCAGCACAUGGGAACCUCUGCCUCACUGAUGUGUUCUGUCAUGUAGCAGUGCUAAAUACAGACUCUGAUGGCUUUAUUAAUAGCAGCCCUAUUAUUUUAACAUGAUGUUCCACCAACUCCUUGGACUGGGGACAAUAGGAAAUGGCACUUACACGUUUAAAUCUGCAGCACACUGUGAACUGUUUGAAUCUGCAUGAUUCAUUGUCAGACAGUGGUAUGUCAGGCACUGCAGGCAAAAGAAAAUAGGCUGCAUACGCGUGCUCUAUAUGUGCUCUACACGUAAGCAGUGUGAAAUGCACCCUGCCCUCCUGUUGACUGAAGAAGCCAUAAAUGAGCUCUGCCUAUCCUUUAGGGUGUUCUUGAUAGGAUCUUGGGAAUUGCCAGCCUGGUGCUUUUAACCAUGACCCCAGACAGUGCUGGGAGC